This 209-nucleotide long non-coding RNA is filed under the name Elaeis guineensis (African oil palm). RNAcentral's name for it is "long non-coding RNA (EGUI_LNC063820)". Lineage: Eukaryota; Viridiplantae; Streptophyta; Magnoliopsida; Arecales; Arecaceae. The record is from RNAcentral.
UGGUCUAUGAUGUGCUUCAUAGAUUUUUUAAUCUCAUUUUGAGAAUAUGCCCUAGAAACUGCCACAUAUAUUCUAAACAAAUUACAAUCAAAAUCUAUCUCUAGCACACUAUAUGAGAUAUGAAAAGGAAAGAGACCAAACCUUAAACAUAUGAAGAUAUGAGAUUGCCCUGCUUAUAUGAAAAUAGUUGAUGGAUAUAAGCCAAGUGC